AAUCAACGCUGGCGGCGUGCCUCAGACAUGCAAGUCGAACGCGAAAGUCCCCUUUCGGGGGGCAAGUAGAGUGGCGCACGGGUGAGUAACACGUAGGUAAUCUACCUUUGGAUUGGGAAUAACCACCGGAAACGGUGGCUAAUACCGAAUAAUGCAGCGGCACCUAAUGGUGACAGUUGUUAAAGCGGGGGAUCGCAAGACCUCGCGUCUGAAGAGGAGCCUGCGGCGGAUUAGCUAGUUGGUAAGGUAACGGCUUACCAAGGCGAUGAUCCGUAGCCGGCCUGAGAGGGCGGUCGGCCACACUGACACUGACAUACGGGUCAGACUCCUACGGGAGGCAGCAGUCGGGAAUUUUGGGCAAUGGGCGAAAGCCUGACCCAGCAACGCCGCGUGAAGGAUGAAAUCCCUCGGGAUGUAAACUUCGCAAGAACGGGAAGAAUAAGUAAGGGUUAAUAUCUCUUACGAUGACGGUACUGCUUGUAAGCUCCGGCUAACUCCGUGCCAGCAGCCGCGGUAAUACGGGGGGAGCAAGCGUUGUUCGGAUUUACUGGGCGUAAAGGGCGCGUAGGCGGCACUGCAAGUCGACUGUGAAAUCUCCGGGCUUAACCCGGAAAGGUCAGCCGAUACUGCGGGGCUAGAGUGCAGAAGGGGCAACUGGAAUUCUCGGUGUAGCGGUGAAAUGCGUAGAUAUCGAGAGGAACACCUGCGGCGAAGGCGGGUUGCUGGGCUGACACUGACGCUGAUGCGCGAAAGCUAGGGGAGCGAACGGGAUUAGAUACCCCGGUAGUCCUAGCCUUAAACGAUGAAUGCUUGGUGUCUGGGGUUUUAUAGUCCCCGGGUGCCGUCGCUAACGCUUUAAGCAUUCCGCCUGGGGAGUACGGUCGCAAGGCUG
Molecule: ribosomal RNA, 892 nt
Filed under: uncultured bacterium
Lineage: Bacteria
Description: bacterial SSU rRNA
Rfam family: Bacterial small subunit ribosomal RNA
Source: RNAcentral